AGUGAACGCUGGCGGUGGGCCUAACACAUGCAAGUCGAACGGCAGCACAGUAAGAGCUUGCUCUUACGGGUGGCGAGUGGCGGCUGGGUGAGGAAUACAUCGGAAUCUACUUUUUCGUGGGGGAUAACGUAGGGAAACUUACGCUAAUACUGCAUACGACCUACGAGUGAAAGCAGAGGAUCUUCGGACCUUGCGCGAUUGAAUGAGCCGAUGUCGGAUUAGCUAGUUGGCGGGGUAAAGGCGCACCAAGGCGACGAUCCGUAGCUGGUCUGAGAGGAUGAUCAGCCACACGGGACCUGAGACACACUCCAGACACCUACACUAGGCCGCAGUUCAGAAUAUUCGACCAUGGGGGCAAGCCUGAUAAAGCCAUACCGAGCGGGGGCAGAAGGCCUUCGGGUUGUAAAGCCCUUAUGUAGGGAAAGAAAAGCAGCAGUUUCAUAACCCGCUGUUCUGACGGUACCUAACGAAUAAGCCCCGGCUAAAUUCGUG
This 492-nucleotide ribosomal RNA is filed under the name uncultured bacterium. RNAcentral describes it as "partial 16S ribosomal RNA". It matches the Rfam family "Bacterial small subunit ribosomal RNA", at positions 29 to 507 of the family's 1533-position model. The record is from RNAcentral.